GCGCCAUUCGUCUAAUUGGAUAAAACACCAUAAUUCUAGUGUGAUUGAUGCGGGUUCGAGUCCUGCAUGGCGUGCCA
Molecule: transfer RNA, 77 nt
Filed under: Acinetobacter baumannii
Lineage: Bacteria; Pseudomonadati; Pseudomonadota; Gammaproteobacteria; Moraxellales; Moraxellaceae
Description: tRNA-Arg (TCT) (tRNA-Arg-TCT-2-1)
Rfam family: tRNA
About the family: Transfer RNA (tRNA) molecules are approximately 80 nucleotides in length. Their secondary structure includes four short double-helical elements and three loops (D, anti-codon, and T loops).
Source: RNAcentral